CACAUCAAGAAGCUAAACAGGACAGCACUAGCCUUUUAAGCUAGAAAAAGAGAAUUCCGCCUCUCCUUGAUGA
Molecule: transfer RNA, 73 nt
Filed under: Geochelone elegans (star tortoise)
Lineage: Eukaryota; Metazoa; Chordata; Testudines; Testudinidae
Description: tRNA-Lys
Rfam family: tRNA
About the family: Transfer RNA (tRNA) molecules are approximately 80 nucleotides in length. Their secondary structure includes four short double-helical elements and three loops (D, anti-codon, and T loops). Further hydrogen bonds mediate the characteristic L-shaped molecular structure. tRNAs have two regions of fundamental functional importance: the anti-codon, which is responsible for specific mRNA codon recognition, and the 3' end, to which the tRNAs corresponding amino acid is attached (by aminoacyl-tRNA synthetases). tRNAs cope with the degeneracy of the genetic code in two manners: having more than one tRNA (with a specific anti-codon) for a particular amino acid; and 'wobble' base-pairing, i.e. permitting non-standard base-pairing at the 3rd anti-codon position.
Source: RNAcentral